UCGAGUAGGACGAGAACUAAGCUCGGAACUGCAUUAUAGAAAGUAAGAGUUCACAGUUUUACAUCUUCUUGGUCAAUUGGAGCCCACGUGUCAUUGCAGAUCAAAACUUAUAUUUUGGUUAUCUGUAUAUUCAUACAAUUUUUACUUUACUUUCAUGUGCGAAAAAUUAUUUACGAAUAUUUCUAUAAAAAUUUAUUUUAUGAGAAAAUAGAAUAUUUUAUUGAUUAUUUUUGAAUAGUACUAGUUG
RNAcentral lists this long non-coding RNA (247 nucleotides) under Theobroma cacao (cacao). Its description in RNAcentral is "long non-coding RNA (TCAC_LNC003888)". The record is from RNAcentral. Lineage: Eukaryota; Viridiplantae; Streptophyta; Magnoliopsida; Malvales; Malvaceae.